Molecule: ribosomal RNA, 682 nt
Filed under: Sclerotinia sclerotiorum
Lineage: Eukaryota; Fungi; Ascomycota; Leotiomycetes; Helotiales; Sclerotiniaceae
Description: eukaryotic LSU rRNA
Rfam family: 5.8S ribosomal RNA (bases 182-335)
Source: RNAcentral
UUUCCGUAGGUGAACCUGCGGAAGGAUCAUUACAGAGUUCAUGCCCGAAAGGGUAGACCUCCCACCCUUGUGUAUUAUUACUUUGUUGCUUUGGCGAGCUGCUCUUCGGGGCCUUGUAUGCUCGCCAGAGAAUAUCAAAACUCUUUUUAUUAAUGUCGUCUGAGUACUAUAUAAUAGUUAAAACUUUCAACAACGGAUCUCUUGGUUCUGGCAUCGAUGAAGAACGCAGCGAAAUGCGAUAAGUAAUGUGAAUUGCAGAAUUCAGUGAAUCAUCGAAUCUUUGAACGCACAUUGCGCCCCUUGGUAUUCCGGGGGGCAUGCCUGUUCGAGCGUCAUUUCAACCCUCAAGCUCAGCUUGGUAUUGAGUCCAUGUCAGUAAUGGCAGGCUCUAAAAUCAGUGGCGGCGCCGCUGGGUCCUGAACGUAGUAAUAUCUCUCGUUACAGGUUCUCGGUGUGCUUCUGCCAAAACCCAAAUUUUCUAUGGUUGACCUCGGAUCAGCAGCACUCUGUUGCAAUCUUGCUAGAUUACUUGUGCAAACCAUCUCUUGUUUAUAGUCGCGAGGCUACCCUGUGAAGGGCCACAACGGCUUCAAUAAGUGUCACUGCGGUAAGAUUCAAUCUGCCAAAACCCAAAUUUUCUAUGGUUGACCUCGGAUCAGGUAGGGAUACCCGCUGAACUUAA